ACAAAUACUAGCCCAUACCCCACACAGUACAACUACCACCUUCCCCCCAACAAAACAUUUACUAAAUAAAAGUAUAGGAGAUAGAAAUU
This 89-nucleotide ribosomal RNA is filed under the name Casinycteris ophiodon (Pohle's fruit bat). RNAcentral's name for it is "Scotonycteris ophiodon (Pohle's fruit bat) partial 16S ribosomal RNA". The record is from RNAcentral. Lineage: Eukaryota; Metazoa; Chordata; Mammalia; Chiroptera; Pteropodidae.